GGGAUAUCGUGUCUUCUGUGCCGCAGUAACGCAAUAAGCACUCCGCCUGGGGAGUACGGUCGCAAGACUAAAACUCAAAGGAAUUGACGGGGGCCCGCACAAGCAGCGGAGCAUGUGGUUUAAUUCGAAGCAACGCGAAGAACCUUACCAGGUCUUGACAUCUCCUGAAUAGUGUAGAGAUACAUGAAGCCCUUCGGGGCAGGAAGACAGGUGGUGCAUGGUUGUCGUCAGCUCGUGUCGUGGGAUGUUGGGUUAAGUCCCGCAACGAGCGCAACCCUUGUCAUUAGUUGCUAACAGUAAGAUGAGCACUCUAAUGAGACUGCCGGGGACAACUCGGAGGAAGGUGGGGAUGACGUCAAAUCACCAUGCCCCUUAUGACCUGGGCUACACACGUGCUACAAUGGCUAGAACAAUGAGAAGCAAAGCAGGGAUGCGGAGCGAAUCUAUAAAACUAGUCCCAGUUCGGAUUGAUGGCUGCAACCCGCCAUCAUGAAGCCGGAGUUGCUAGUAAUCGCGAAUCAGCAUGUCGCGGUGAAUACGUUCCCGGGCCUUGUACACACCGCCCGUCACACCAUGAGAGUCUGCAACACCCGAAGCCUGUGAGUUAACUAGUAAUAGAGACAGCAGUCGAAGGUGGGGCCGAUGAUUGGGGUGAAGUCGUAACAAGGUAGCCG
This 674-nucleotide ribosomal RNA is filed under the name uncultured bacterium. RNAcentral describes it as "bacterial SSU rRNA". It matches the Rfam family "Bacterial small subunit ribosomal RNA", at positions 826 to 1502 of the family's 1533-position model. The record is from RNAcentral.